Molecule: ribosomal RNA, 468 nt
Filed under: uncultured bacterium
Lineage: Bacteria
Description: partial 16S ribosomal RNA
Rfam family: Bacterial small subunit ribosomal RNA
Source: RNAcentral
GACGAACGCUGGCGGCGUGCUUAACACAUGCAAGUCGAACGGAAAGGCCCUGCUUUUGUGGGGUGCUCGAGUGGCGAACGGGUGAGUAACUCGUGAGUAACCUGCCCUUGACUUUGGGAUAACUUCAGGAAACUGGGGCUAAUACCGGAUAGGAGCUCCUGCUGCAUGGUGGGGGUUGGAAAGUUUCGGCGGUUGGGGAUGGACUCGCGGCUUAUCAGCUUGUUGGUGGGGUAGUGGCUUACCAAGGCUUUGACGGGUAGCCGGCCUGAGAGGGUGACCGGCCACAUUAGGACUGAGAUACGGCCCAGACUCCUACGGGAGGCAGCAGUGGGGAAUAUUGCACAAUGGGCUGAAGCAUGAUGCAGUAACGCCGCGUGCGGGAUGACGGCCAGCGGGUUGUAAUCCGCUUUCGCCUGAGACGAGGCGUGAGUGACGGUAAUGGGUAAAGAAGCACCGGCUAACUACGUG